GGGCUGUCUUCAGGCUCCCAACAGUUUCCAGAGAGUAAAAGCUGAUGGUCCUACUGAGGUGUGAAGGACAGUGACGGACAGUGAUGGAAGGUGAUGGACAGAGGAGGACAGUGAUGGACAGAGGAGGACAGUGAUGGACAGAGGAGGGCAGUGAUGGACAGUGACGGGCAGUGAUAGACAGCAACAGAGAGUGGAGGACAGUGAUGAACAGCAACAGACAGUGGAGGGCAGUGAUGGACAGUGGAGGACAUUGGAGGAUAGCAGAGGACAGUGAGGGACAGCAGAGGACAGUGAUGGACAGCGGAGGACAGUGAUGGACAGCAGAGGACAGUGAUGGACUGCGGAGGACAGCGAUGGACAGCGGAGGACGGCGAUGGACAGCGGAGGACGGCGAUGGAGAGCGGAGGACGGCGAUGGAGAGCGGAGGACGGCGAUGGAGAGCGGAGGACGGCGAUGGAGAGCGGAGGACGGCGAUGGACAGCGGAGGACGGUGAUGGACAGUGGAGGACGGUGAUGGACAGAGGAGGACGGUGUGGACAGCGGAGGACGGUGAUGGACAGCGGAGGAUGGUGAAGGACAGAGAAGGACAGCAAUGGAAGGACAGGCACCCCAGUCAGCACAAACACAGGCCGAGUGGGGCCCAUGCAUUUCUGGGAGGACUGGCAAGCUGGGAAAGGCCUCCAGGGCAGGGAAACUCAGGAGAGUGACAGCUUGUUCAGGCCAGGACCUUGUGCAUCUUCUCCUUUUUUCUUUCUUAGUAAACCCAGUGUAUUCAUUUCUAGUGGCUG
This 788-nucleotide long non-coding RNA is filed under the name Pan troglodytes (chimpanzee). Its description in RNAcentral is "long non-coding RNA NONPTRT009036". Lineage: Eukaryota; Metazoa; Chordata; Mammalia; Primates; Hominidae. The record is from RNAcentral.